UAACGGCGAGUGAACCGGGAUGAGCUCAAAUUUAAAAUCUGGCGUCUUUCAGGCGUCCGAGUUGUAAUCUAUAGAGGCGUUUUCCGCGCCGGACCGCGUCCAAGUCUCUUGGAAUAGAGUAUCAAAGAGGGUGACAAUCCCGUACUUGACGCGACAACCGGUGCUCUGUGAUACGUUCUCAAUGAGUCGAGUUGUUUGGGAAUGCAGCUCUAAAUGGGUGGUAAAUUCCAUCUAAGGCUAAAUAUUGGCGAGAGACCGAUAGCGAACAAGUACCGUGAGGGAAAGAUGAAAAGCACUUUGGAAAGAGAGUUAAACAGCACGUGAAAUUGUUAAAAGGGAAACGAUUGAAGUCAGUCGUGUGAAAGGUAUUCAGCCGUCUCUGGCGGUGUAUUUGCCUUUCACGGGUCAACAUCAGUUUGAUCCGGUAGAAAAAGGCGGGAGGAAGGUGGCACCCUCGGGUGUGUUAUAGCCUCCUGUCAUAUGUGCCGGACCAGACUGAGGAACGCAGCUUGCCGCAAGGCCGGGGUUCGCCCACGUACAAGCUUAGGAUGUUGACAUAAUGGCUUUAAA
This 570-nucleotide ribosomal RNA is filed under the name Vishniacozyma victoriae. RNAcentral describes it as "eukaryotic LSU rRNA". It matches the Rfam family "Eukaryotic large subunit ribosomal RNA", at positions 84 to 644 of the family's 3401-position model. The record is from RNAcentral. Lineage: Eukaryota; Fungi; Basidiomycota; Tremellomycetes; Tremellales; Bulleribasidiaceae.